UGCAAUGAGUAAAGCAUAGUCUUUGGCUUCA
RNAcentral lists this non-coding RNA (31 nucleotides) under Mus musculus (house mouse). Lineage: Eukaryota; Metazoa; Chordata; Mammalia; Rodentia; Muridae. The record is from RNAcentral.